This is a long non-coding RNA of Hemicordylus capensis (graceful crag lizard), 1162 nucleotides long. RefSeq lists it as uncharacterized. The record is from RefSeq and is a predicted model, not a curated record. NCBI's taxonomy places the organism in Eukaryota, Metazoa, Chordata, Lepidosauria, Squamata, Cordylidae. The transcript has 5 exons.
GCCCUGCGAAAGCUGAUUCCUACAACGCAACAAUAUCAAGAGGGCAGCGUGAGUCCCAGAUGCAGCCAGCUCGCCUGACCCGGUAACUGAGUGCGUAUUCCCGCUACAUUAAUGGUACAAGGAGAAGUGACCUUCCUCUUCACGCGCUGAGGGUCGCGAUGCCAUUUAGAAGCACUUCCUGUCAUGAUCUGGAAAAGCAGCCCAGACUCAGUAGGACUCGUCGGCAGGAGCAGCAGCUGAGCCGAAGAUGCAGCGCAUCACUAAGAUCGGCCGUGAUUUCGCUGAGGCCGAGCACUGCCUUUAAUUUCUGGAAGAGAGGUGCCGGGGCUGAAACCCUUCCCCUGAAGUUUUGCUUUUCGACCCGGAGGUUGCAGUCUUGCCCGUAUUUACUGUUGGAGUCGCCAUGAGGUAUUAUACAAUGGUUGUCAUAGGAACUCUGGAAGUCAUUUAAAUAAAGAAUAGAAUUACUACCGGAAUCUCCUUUGAGUCUGGCAGCUGAAGCUGAGGAUGAAUUAGCUCUUGUAGCAUGUGCUUCCUCAUUAAGUGGGGGUGAGGAGAAGCAGCAUGUGAAACAAUAGUAAAUGGCAGCACACUAAGGUGACAUGACAUUCGAGAUUCUGUAGCCAUGUGCCGAAUGGAACAUUUCAAAGCAGAGGAAGGAAGAAUGCUCAAGUGAUGCAGGAUUAUUGAAAGGUCUCUUAUGAAACUGCUGAAAAAGCUGAGCGCAUUUAUUUCCUUAUUUUCCAAAUGAAAUGUACUGAGCUUCUAUCUUGCCUCUUCCCCAAUGAGGAGGAGAAAGAAAGGAAAGACUAUAAAAGAGUAGGGAGCGACAAGAAGGAACACAAAAAGCCGCAGAGCUACUGCAAUAACUAGAUAGGAGGGAUUAGAUGCGACAUUCUUGGACAUUUGGCAGUGCAGUGGCUCUUAUGGCAAAACAACUUUUAAAUUUAAACCAAGAACCUUUUCUUCGGAAAGCUAAUUUCUUUUGUUGGCCAUGCUUAGGAAGUCUUGCAGCCCAGAAUGUUCACAGGAUUCCCUCAAAGUUUCAUUUUGGUCUUAAGAAGAUUUCACCUACAAGUGGCUCUUCUUUUCUGCUAGAUCCAAACAAGGCUCUCCAUUUUCUAUGAAGAUUAAUUUAGAUUUUCUAUUGCAGAGGCAUACA